This 451-nucleotide ribosomal RNA is filed under the name Neisseria mucosa. Its description in RNAcentral is "bacterial SSU rRNA". It matches the Rfam family "Bacterial small subunit ribosomal RNA", at positions 60 to 500 of the family's 1533-position model. The record is from RNAcentral. Lineage: Bacteria; Pseudomonadati; Pseudomonadota; Betaproteobacteria; Neisseriales; Neisseriaceae.
AGUCGGACGGCAGCACAGAGAAGCUUGCUUCUUGGGUGGCGAGUGGCGAACGGGUGAGUAACAUAUCGGAACGUACCGAGCAGUGGGGGAUAACUAAUCGAAAGAUUAGCUAAUACCGCAUAUAUUCUGAGGAAGAAAGCAGGGGACCAUUUGGCCUUGCGCUGUUUGAGCGGCCGAUAUCUGAUUAGCUAGUUGGUGGGGUAAAGGCCUACCAAGGCGACGAUCAGUAGCGGGUCUGAGAGGAUGAUCCGCCACACUGGGACUGAGACACGGCCCAGACUCCUACGGGAGGCAGCAGUGGGGAAUUUUGGACAAUGGGCGCAAGCCUGAUCCAGCCAUGCCGCGUGUCUGAAGAAGGCCUUCGGGUUGUAAAGGACUUUUGUCAGGGAAGAAAAGGAUAGGGUUAAUACCCCUGUCUGAUGACGGUACCUGAAGAAUAAGCACCGGCUAA